AGCCCGUCGAAUGCUGGAUGAACGCUCAAAUUAUUCAAAACCCACGCGCACGUCUCUUCUCACGCAAGGAGCCCCUUACGACGCUGGGCCCCACCCGCCACAAGGACCAAAAAAUGCUUUGUCUGUGUGUCCGGCCCAGUACGUAUACGUACAUUGCUGCAGGAGGCCCCCUCUCAAAAAAAAAUCAUGAAAAGUCGUGCCCUGCUCAGUGGUCUACCCCGUCUUUCCGCUUCGUCCCGGCCCGGGCACACGCGACGGAAGCGAAACCCUCUCCCUAUAAAACCUCUCGACUAGUCACGUCCGCUUGGCAGGGACCAGUCCAUCUCGUCUCGUCCCAGCAAAGCAAAGGCAGCCAUGCCCCACAGUCUCUUCCUGCUCGUCGUCCUCCUCGCCGCCGCGCAAGCCAGCGCGGCCACGCCGCGGCAGCUGUUCCUCGUGAGCCGGCCGCCCAUCACGCUCACCAACCACCACGGCCAGCUGCUGACGGGCAACUACUCCGUCAACCUGCUCUGGUACGGGCGUUUCACGCCGGCGCAGCGCGCCGUGGUGGCCGACUUCAUCCUCUCCCUCUCGGGGACGGGGCCGGGGUCCGUGGCGGCGUGGUGGGCCACGACGUCGCGGUACCAUCCUGGCGCAGCACGGCUGUCGCUGGGGCGACAGGUGCUGGACCCGUCGCGCUCCCUAGGCCGCCGCCUCUCGGAGUCGUCGCUAGCGUCCCUGGCGACGCGCCUGGCCCCGCACCGCGGCUCCGUGGCGGUCGUGGUGACGGCGCCGGACGUGCUCGUGGACGGGUUCUGCCUCUCCCGCUGCGGCCUCCACGCGUCGUCCCCGACCCCGAACGCCACCCGCGGGCGUGGCCGCGGGCGGUACGUGUACGCGUGGGUGGGGAACCCCGCGGAGCAGUGCCCGGGGGAGUGCGCAUGGCCCUUCCACCAGCCGCUCUACGGCCCGCAGCCGGCGGCGGCGCCGCUGGUGGCCCCGAACGCGGACGUCGGGAUGGACGGCGCGGUGAUCACGCUGGCCACGCUGCUGGCGGGCGCGGUGACCAACCCGUACGGCGGCGGCUUCUUCCAGGGCCCCGCGGAGGCGCCGAUGGAGGCCGUCACGGCGUGCGCGGGCGUGUUCGGGGCCGGCGCCUACCAGGGGUACCCGGGGCAGCUGCGCGUGGACGCCGCCACGGGCGCCAGCUACAACGCCGUGGGGAUCGCCGGCCGACGCUUCCUGCUGCCGGCCAUGUGGGACCCCGAAACAGCGCAGUGCUCCACGCCGCUGGACUAGAUAGAUAGAUAGAUGCCCGUGCCGCCGUGCAUGACUGUGGUGGAGUCGAGUGUCGGUGCUGCUGUUUCUUACUUUCUUUCUCGUGUCCCCUCCCUCGCAUUGUGGAUAUACCACUCACCAACCAUUUCGUUUGUGGCUUACUACUACUACUCCGGAGGGUUGGUGGUUAACGUUUUGGAAGAGCAACAGCAAUGGAGCAGCCAGCAGAGCCUCUGCAUGGAAAAGUAGCGAAAGGCAAUGGCAAGGACAGGCAUGGCAGCAGGAGGGAGCGUCCUGUCCUUGCUGCCGUGCACAGGGCACCGCACACUGUGCCCCGACCCCGAGCGAGAAGCAAGAGAGAAAGGACAACAGGGUCGGAGGGCG
This 1641-nucleotide unclassified non-coding RNA is filed under the name Zea mays. RNAcentral's name for it is "misc RNA Zm00001eb199130". Lineage: Eukaryota; Viridiplantae; Streptophyta; Magnoliopsida; Poales; Poaceae. The record is from RNAcentral.